UACGUAGGGGGCUAGCGUUGUCCGGAAUCAUUGGGCGUAAAGAGCGCGUAGGCGGCCAGAUAAGUCCGGUGUGAAAGUCAAAGGCUCAACCUUUGAAUGCCGCUGGAAACUGUCUGGCUAGAGUCCGGGAGGGGCGAGUGGAAUUCCUGGUGUAGCGGUGAAAUGCGCAGAUAUCAGGAGGAACACCAAUGGCGAAGGCAGCUCGCUGGAACGGUACUGACGCUGAGGUGCGAAAGCGUGGGGAGCAAACAGG
Molecule: ribosomal RNA, 253 nt
Filed under: uncultured bacterium
Lineage: Bacteria
Description: partial 16S ribosomal RNA
Rfam family: Bacterial small subunit ribosomal RNA
Source: RNAcentral